GUUGACACAAUGCAGGAGAUUGCUUUUGGAACUUCCAAAUGGCUCCUUCCUGUAGGACAGUGAGGGAGAAUGAACCCCCCCAAUCCCAACUGGCACGCACACUGAAGCUUGACAGGUUGUGAACUCCGAAAGCCUUCAGUGGCCAUUGCACUGCAAGUCUCCAUAUUCUAACAAAUGAGGCCUAUGCAAUCAUGUUGUGGAGGGAAGCAGCCAUUUCAACACGGGCUAGAACAAGGUUUCCAGCACAGAAAAGAAUAAUAAGAUGGUCCUCCUAAGAAUCCAUUUUGUGAAAUGACUUCAAUUCAAAAAUUCAACUUAUUUCCUGCGUUCAGACAGAGAGCAUCUUCUCUCGUGCGGAGGAUUUAACACACGAUGGUGAACAAGAACAUCAGCUUCUGGCCAAAAUGAAUGUGGCUGGAAAGCCGUGUUGAAAUCAAUCACAGGCACAGCUGGGACUCCUUGGAGCUGUCAGGAAAUGGAAUGGAGUCAGUGUUGCUUUGGAGAGCCUCUGACCUGGAGGCCAGGGCCCAUCGGCAUGAGUCUGUUAGUGCUAACCUGCAGCCGAGUGGUUUGAAACCCAGUCACUUCAGCACUCCUGGAGAAGGUCUUGAUCACUAUCACUGGACAUCAGGGAGCUGCAAGGCUACUCUGGCAUGUGAUCCAGUGUAAAACACACACAUAAAUGUCUAUCAACCUUUCCCACUUGGUCAAGUUUGCAUCAGCCUAUUACAAGGAGAAAUGCAUGAGACUGGACAGGAGGGAGACUCUCUGCCCACCCCUUCAUAUUGGACAGUCUCUUUCUUUAACUGAUUUUGUCAGUUUAGCCAACACUUUGGCCUGCCAUGGAGCAUGGCACAAAUGGUGCAGGGGGAUUAUGUGAGCACAGGCAGCAGAAAAAUAUCCAAGUCUAUGGCUUUAGAUUUUUUUUCUUCAGAUAACUGGAUUCAAAAUAAAACAUACAAAUUUCCAGUGCUCUUUUCCCAUAAGACACUGAAGAGUCUAGAGGUAGUGAAAGUCCAAGUCAAGAUCUAUAGACCAUGUUGCAGCCCUGAGUUAUUUCUUCCUGAAGGCUAAUGAGAUGUUUUCACAGAGAUAUUUUGUCUCCAUCUUUUCUUUCCAAGUUUCCCAGGAACUAACCAACCUAACUCUAGUUUCUGUUCCCACUUGCUUUUUCACCCUGGCAAUCUUAAUUCUGGGUCUCUGGAAAAUACUAAAGACACACAUCCAUUCAUUCAUCAAAUAUACUUAGAAGCAGCUGGUACAGAAUGUUUAAGCUAGUGAGGAAGAUAGUAAUAAGCUGAUACUUGUUUCUUCCCUUUGACUUCUUUAUUUUUAUGUUUAUUUAUUUUUGAGAAACAGAGAGCACAUGUGCCUGUGUUGCGGGGAGGGGCAGAGAGAGAGAGGGAGACAGAGAAUCCCAAGCAGGCUGAACGCAGAGCUGGAACACACAAACCAGGAGAUCAUGGUCUGAGCAGAAAUCAAGGGUUAGAUGAUAAACUGACUAAACCAGCUACCCUUAAACUUCUAAGCAGAGACAAAUGCUUUCAUUUUUUAACAUGUUUUCAUGUGUGACUUUGGAGUUAAAUGGGAUUAGUUAAUAUCAUAGCAAAUAUAUGGGAAUUAGUUACCUCCAAUUCUGAAUAGCCACUUAUCACAGCCAAGAACUCUCGUAUUGAGGAAGCAAGGGAAAUAAAUACUCCAACCUCUUUUUCCUUUACAAUUUCCUGUUGAUUCCACCUAAUGGUGAAACUAAACUAAACUAAACUAAACUAAACUAAACUAAACUAAACUAAACUAAACUAAAGCAAGAAAGCCAUGGGGCCUGUUUGAAGCAUUCCGUAGGCAUCAGCCUCCUGGAGUUCAGAGGACAGAAAAGAGGGAGGCAAGGUUAAAUGACAAUAUACAGAACACAUAUUGCAAAGUGUGUGGAAGGCUUGAUUAAACUUCUAUGAUCAAGUGUCUCAAAUUCCAAUCCUUGAACUUUUUUUGUAUGCUCACUCCCUAGAUGAUUUCAUCCAAUCCUUGUCUUCGAAUACCAUGUAUAUUCUGAUGACUCUCAAAUUUCCCCCUACUUUUUCCCAAGUUCCAGCUGUGAACCUGACAUCCACAUGAGGAUGUUUCAAAUUCCACCCCUGCCCCCAACAGAAAUCUACUCUAUGCAUCCCUGCUGCAUCCUUCCAUGUUCCCCAAAUCACUAAGGGAUAACAUCAUUGCCCUGGUUGCUCAGGUCAUAUAUAGCGAGCCAUCCUUAAAUUACUUCUUUUUUCUCGCACUCCUCAUUUCCAACACUACAUUCAAAAUGUAGCCUAAAUUUAUCUAAAUCUUCCUUCCUGUACAAUGACUGAGUUUAAGAUUACAUCCUGGCAAAUGCCACCAAAGUUCUCUUUCUGCUCCAUUUUUGUUCCUUCCCAUGGCCAGUAUAGUCAUUUCUUCAUGGAAACCUAACUACUGUCUUCUAAAAGACCCUCGUGGCUUCCAGUAAUACUCCGAAUAAAUGAUAAACUCCUGACCCUGGACCUCCAAAGACCCACCUGAUUUGGACCUUUUCUAUGUCUUAGACUUCAUAUUCUUUACUCUUCAUUUAUUCUCUUUAAACCCCACUGGCUUUCUUGCUGUUUCUCAAAACAUCAGGGUUAUUCCAGUUUGGGGGCAUUUUCACUAGCUCUUUCUUUUGUCUACUAUGCUUUGUCUCCACAUUCCAUAUAGUUCCUUCUACCUCUCAAUUCAUUUCUCUUCCCAUAUGUUACCUCUGGGUCUCUCCUAACCUCCUCAAUCUAAAAUAACCUUUCUUCAUUAAUUUUCCUUAUAGAAUGUAUUACCAUUUGAAGUUAUUCUAAAUCAUAUCAUAUUAUAUUUAUA
Molecule: long non-coding RNA, 2859 nt
Organism: Acinonyx jubatus (cheetah)
Lineage: Eukaryota; Metazoa; Chordata; Mammalia; Carnivora; Felidae
Exons: 3
Source: RefSeq, a predicted model, not a curated record